GGGGCGUGGCGGCUAGCCUAAACAUGCAAGUCGAACGGCAGCACAGUAAGAGCCUUGCUCCUUAUGGGUGGCGAGUGGCGAGACGGGUGAGGAAUACAUCGAGAAUCUACCUUUUCGUGGGGGAUAACGUAGGGAAACUUACGCUAAUACCGCAUACGACCUUCGGGUGAAAGCAGGGGACCUUCGGGCCUUGCGCGGAUAUAUGAGCCGAUGUCAGAUUAUCUAGUUGGCGGGGUAAAGGCCCACCAGGGCGACGAUCCGUAGCUGGUCUGAGAAGAUGAUCACCCACACUGGAACUGACACACGGUCCACACUCCUACGGGAGGCAGCAGUGGGGAAUAUUGGACAAUGGGCGCAAGCCUGAUCCAGCCAUACCGCGUGGGUGAAAAGCGCCUUCGGGUUGUAAAGCCCUUUUGUUGGGAAAAAAAAGCAGCCAGUUAAUACCUGGUUGUUCUGACGGUACCCAAAGAAUAAGCACCGGCUAACUUCGUGCCAACAGCCGCGGUAAUACGAGGGGUGCAAGCGUUACUCGGAAUUACUGGGCGUAAAGCGUGCGUAUGUGGUUGUUUAACUCUGUUGUGAAAGCCCUGGGCUCAACCUGGGAAUUGCAGUGGAUACUGGGCGACUAGAGUGUGGUAGAGGGUAGUGGAAUUCCUGGGUGUAGCAGUGAAAUGCGUAGAGAUCGAGAGGAACAUCCAUGGGCGAAGCGCCUCUACGUGGGACCCAACACUGACACUGAGGCACGAAACGCGUGGGGGAGCAAAACGGAGAUUUAUAUACCCCUGGGUACUCCACCCCCCCUAAAUGAUGCAAAACUGGGAUGUUGGGGGUGCAAUUUUGGCACCACAAUAAUCAAAACCUAACCGC
RNAcentral lists this ribosomal RNA (867 nucleotides) under Stenotrophomonas rhizophila. Its description in RNAcentral is "bacterial SSU rRNA". It matches the Rfam family "Bacterial small subunit ribosomal RNA", at positions 30 to 872 of the family's 1533-position model. Lineage: Bacteria; Pseudomonadati; Pseudomonadota; Gammaproteobacteria; Lysobacterales; Lysobacteraceae. The record is from RNAcentral.